RNAcentral lists this ribosomal RNA (467 nucleotides) under uncultured bacterium. Its description in RNAcentral is "partial 16S ribosomal RNA". It matches the Rfam family "Bacterial small subunit ribosomal RNA", at positions 28 to 506 of the family's 1533-position model. The record is from RNAcentral.
GACGAACGCUGGCGGCGUGCUUAACACAUGCAAGUCGAACGGAAAGGCCCUGCUUUUGUGGGGUGCUCGAGUGGCGAACGGGUGAGUAACACGUGAGUAACCUGCCCUUGACUUUGGGAUAACUUCAGGAAACUGGGGCUAAUACCGGAUAGGAGCUCCUGCUGCAUGGUGGGGGUUGGAAAGUUUCGGCGGUUGGGGAUGGACUCGCGGCUUAUCAGCUUGUUGGUGGGGUAGUGGCUUACCAAGGCUUUGACGGGUAGCCGGCCUGAGAGGGUGACCGGCCACAUUGGGACUGAGAUACGGCCCAGACUCCUACGGGAGGCAGCAGUGGGGAAUAUUGCACAAUGGGCGGAAGCCGGAUGCAGCAACGCCGCGUGCGGGAGGACGGCCUUCGGGUUGUAAACCGCUUUCGCCUGUGACGAAGCGUGAGUGACGGGAAUGGGUAAAGAAGCACCGGCGAACUACGU